UGGAAUUGUUAAGAUUUGUUUUAUGUGU
RNAcentral lists this non-coding RNA (28 nucleotides) under Rattus norvegicus (Norway rat). The record is from RNAcentral. Lineage: Eukaryota; Metazoa; Chordata; Mammalia; Rodentia; Muridae.